RNAcentral lists this ribosomal RNA (500 nucleotides) under uncultured bacterium. RNAcentral's name for it is "partial 16S ribosomal RNA". It matches the Rfam family "Bacterial small subunit ribosomal RNA", at positions 30 to 523 of the family's 1533-position model. The record is from RNAcentral.
AUUGAACGCUGGCGGCAUGCUUUACACAUGCAAGUCGAACGGUAACAGGGUGCUUGCACCGCUGACGAGUGGCGAACGGGUGAGUAAUGCGUCGGAACGUGCCGAGUAGUGGGGGAUAACGCAGCGAAAGUUGUGCUAAUACCGCAUACGUACUGAGGUAGAAAGUGGGGGACCUUCGGGCCUCACGCUAUUCGAGCGGCCGACGUCUGAUUAGCUAGUAGGGGAGGUAAAGGCUCACCUAGGCGACGAUCAGUAGCGGGUCUGAGAGGAUGAUCCGCCGCACUGGGACUGAGACACGGCCCAGACCCCUACGGGAGGCAGCAGUGGGGAAUUUUGUACAAUGGGCGAAAGCCUGAUCCAGCCAUGCCGCGUGUCUGAAGAAGGCCUUCGGGUUGUAAAGGACUUUUGUCAGGGAGGAAAUCCCUAGUGCUAAUAACACUGGGGGAUGACAGUACCUGAAGAAUAAGCACCGGCUAACUACGUGCCAGCCGCCGCGGUAA